Molecule: long non-coding RNA, 553 nt
Organism: Rhodamnia argentea
Lineage: Eukaryota; Viridiplantae; Streptophyta; Magnoliopsida; Myrtales; Myrtaceae
Exons: 3
Source: RefSeq, a predicted model, not a curated record
AAAAAGAAAGGAGGAGGAAGAAGUAGAAGCGGCGGAGAAGUGCUGAGGGCGUGUGGAUUCGACCCAAAAGCAAAUCUGAUCGUUGAGGAAGAUGAUGCUCCUCACAUCUCAUUCGCAUGUAGUUUUCAAUCUGAAUCCUCGGCUUCUCGCUGCUCCUCUUUCUCAGCCCCUUCUCCAUCUCUCUGUCUCUCUGUCUCUCUCUGUCUCUCUCUCUCUGCCUGCUCUCAUCUGUCUGUUCUGAAUGGAUAGAUGGAUGCAGGGUAAGCUCCAACUGGCCUUAUGAUGGUGUUGAAUAACUUCUCUGAAGGCUCAGACUCUUCCCCCCCCUCUCUCUCUCUCUCUCUCUCGAUCUCGACUUGGUUUAAUUUGCCCGAAGCCCUUUUCGAUCUUUGUAGUUGUGAAAUUGUGGAUCCUUAGACAGUGGCGGGCGUGGGAAAUUCGUUGAAAGUUCAUAGAUUUUUAGCGUUAUAUUUUGCAGAAACUGUUGUUUUGGUCUUGUUCUUCGUUUUGCUGCUAGCGUGGAGGAAUUGUGCAAAAAAUGUUUCCUUGCUCA